RNAcentral lists this transfer RNA (72 nucleotides) under Bos taurus (domestic cattle). It matches the Rfam family "tRNA". Rfam says of the family: Transfer RNA (tRNA) molecules are approximately 80 nucleotides in length. Their secondary structure includes four short double-helical elements and three loops (D, anti-codon, and T loops). Further hydrogen bonds mediate the characteristic L-shaped molecular structure. tRNAs have two regions of fundamental functional importance: the anti-codon, which is responsible for specific mRNA codon recognition, and the 3' end, to which the tRNAs corresponding amino acid is attached (by aminoacyl-tRNA synthetases). tRNAs cope with the degeneracy of the genetic code in two manners: having more than one tRNA (with a specific anti-codon) for a particular amino acid; and 'wobble' base-pairing, i.e. permitting non-standard base-pairing at the 3rd anti-codon position. RNAcentral also lists the same sequence under 2 other names. The record is from Rfam by way of RNAcentral. Lineage: Eukaryota; Metazoa; Chordata; Mammalia; Artiodactyla; Bovidae.
UCUCUGGUGGCUUAGAUGGUAAAGAAUCUGCCUGCAAUUCAGGAGGCCCAGGUUCGAUCCCUGGGUUGAGAA